This 568-nucleotide long non-coding RNA is filed under the name Apteryx rowi (Okarito brown kiwi). Its description in RNAcentral is "lncRNA (ENSARWG00000007637.1)". Lineage: Eukaryota; Metazoa; Chordata; Aves; Apterygiformes; Apterygidae. The record is from RNAcentral.
UUAAUUUGAGCCUCCCGAGUAAAUCAUCCUUUUUUGCUUUGUUCUGAAUAUUAUUAGGAAUAGUGUGUGUCUGUGACUGUGUUGACAUACAGUUCCUGUCGCUUUGCCAGUGAGGAUUCGUGCACUUCGGUGUAGAGAACCCUUUCUUUCCCUUGCUGUUUGUAAUGGAUGGAAGCUGUCACAUCUCUCUAAGCCUCGAACUCCUGGCCUGAUACUCAGUUGUCCGUCUGUCUUCAGAAAGUGAAGGCUGUGUAUGGAACAGUGGUUGGCAGUUUUCCUCAACUUUGCAAGAGAGAGAGAAUUGGUUGGAAUGAAACCUUGCUCUCCAUACAGUCCGCUUGAGAUGCAGCAUUGAAAGGACUACCUGAUUUCACCAAGCAUGAUUUCUAAAAAGCACGGUUUCCUCCCUAGCUAAAAAGUGAGCCUUAUUAGCUAAAAUGUAAAAUGUAGGAGAGAAAUGGCUGUAUCAACUACAGAAACAUGGAAAUUCCAGCUUCAGAACGUGGUUUAAGGAGUGCAGAGAAUGUUUAUCAGUUACAUUUAAGUUGUAUUUUCCAAUUCUUUCUUU